Molecule: ribosomal RNA, 253 nt
Filed under: uncultured bacterium
Lineage: Bacteria
Description: partial 16S ribosomal RNA
Rfam family: Bacterial small subunit ribosomal RNA
Source: RNAcentral
UACGUAGGCAGCGAGCGUUGUUCGGAGUUACUGGGCGUAAAGGGUGUGUAGGCGGUUUUCUAAGUUUGGUGUGAAAUCUCCCGGCUCAACCGGGAGGGUGCGCCGAAAACUGGGAGACUAGAGUGCGGGAUGGGAGAGUAGAAUUCCUGGUGUAGCGGUGAAAUUCGUAGAUAUUAGGAAGAACACCAGUGGCGAAGGCGGCUCACUGGCCCGGUACUGACGCUGAGGCGCGAAAGCGUGGGGAGCAAACAGG